UUCACUAGCAAUAGUUUUGCGUUUUCGUGGGUGGGUUCAAUUCACUAGCAAUAGUUUUACGUUCCCGUGAGUGGGUUCAAUUGACUAGCAAUAGUUUUGCGUUCCCGUGAGUGGGUUCAAUUCACUAGCAAUAGUUUUGCGUUCCCGUGGGUGGGUUCAAUUCACUAGCAAUAGUUUUACGUUCCCGUGAGUGGGUUCAAUUCACUAGCAAUUGUUUUACGUUCCCGUGAGUGGGUUCAAUUCACUAGCAAUAGUUUUAAGUUCCCGUGAGUGGUCACUAGCAAUAGUUUUGCGUUCCCGUGGGUGGGUUCAAUUCACUAGCAAUAGUUUUAAGUUCUUGUGAGUGGUCAUUAGCAAUAGUUUUGCGUUCCCGUGAGUGGGUUCAAUUCACUAGCAAUAGUUUUGCGUUCCCGUGGGUGGGUUCAAUUCACUAGCAAUAGUUUUAAGUUCUUGUGAGUGGUCAUUAGCAAUAGUUUUGCGUUCCCAUGAGUGGGUUCAAUUCACUAGCAAUAGUUUUGCAUUCCCGUGGGUGGGUUCAAUUCACUAGCAAUAGUUUUGCGUUCUCGUGAGUGGGUUCAAUUCACUAGCAAUAGUUUUGCAUUCCCUUGAGUGGGUUUAAUUCACUAGCAAUAGUUUUACGUUCCCGUGAGUGGGUUCAAUUCACUAGCAAUAGUUUUAAGUUCCCGUGAGUGGGUUCAAUUCACUAGCAAUAGUUUUGCGUUCCCGUGGGUGGGUUCAAUUCACUAGCAAUAGUUUUUCGUUCCCGUGAGUGGGUUCAAUUCACUAGCAAUAGUUUUGCGUUCCCGUGGGUGGGUUUAAUUCACUAGCAAUAGUUUUGUGUUCCCGUGGGUGGGUUCAAUUCACCAGCAAUAGUUUUACGUUCCCGUGAGUGGGUUCAAUUCACUAGCAAUAGUUUUAAGUUCUCGUGAGUGGUCACUAGCAACAGUUUUGCGUUCCCGUGGGUGGGUUCAAUUCACUAGCAAUAGUUUUGCGUUCCCGUGGGUGGGUUCAAUUCACUAGCAAUAGUUUUGCGUUUCCGUGGGUGGGUUCAAUUCACUAGCAAUAGUUUUAAGUUCCCGUGAGUGGUCACUAGCAAUAGUUUUGCGUUCCCGUGGAUGGGUUCAAUUCACUAGCAAUAGUUUUGCGUUCUUGUGAGUGGGUUCAAUUCACUAGCAAUAGUUUUGGUUCAAUUCACUAGCAAUAGUUUUACGUUCCCGUGAGUGGGUUCAAUUCACUAGCAAUAGUUUUGCGUUCCCGUGGGUGGGUUCAAUUCACUAGCAAUAGUUUUGCGUUCCCGUGGGUGGGUUCAAUUCACUAGCAAUAGUUUUACGUUCCCGUGAGUGGGUUCAAUUCACUAGCAAUAGUUUUAAGUUCCCGUGAGUGGUCACUAGCAAUAGUUUUGCGUUCCCAUGAGUGGGUUCAAUUCACUAGCAAUAGUUUUGCGUUCCCGUGGGUGGGUUCAAUUCACUAGCAAUAGUUUUAAGUUCUUGUGAGUGGUCAUUAGCAAUAGUUUUGCGUUCCCAUGAGUGGGUUCAAUUCACUAGCAAUAGUUUUGCAUUCCCGUGGGUGGGUUCAAUUCACUAGCAAUAGUUUUAAGUUCUUGUGAGUGGUCAUUAGCAAUAGUUUUGCGUUCCCAUGAGUGGGUUCAAUUCACUAGCAAUAGUUUUGCAUUCCCGUGGGUGGGUUCAAUUCACUAGCAAUAGUUUUAAGUUCUCGUGAGUGGUCACUAGCAAUAGUUUUGCGUUCCCGUGGGUGGGUUCAAUUCACUAGCAAUAGUUUUGCGUUCCCGUGGGUGGGUUCAAUUCACUAGCAAUAGUUUUGCGUUCCCGUGAGUGGGUUCAAUUCACUAGCAAUAGUUUUGCGUUCCCGUGGGUGAGUUCAAUUCACUAGCAAUAGUUUUACGUUCCCGUGAGUGGGUUCAAUUCACUAGCAAUAGUUUUGCGUUCUUGUGAGUGGGUUCAAUUCACUAGCAAUAGUUUUGCGUUCCCGUGAGUGGGUUCAAUUCACUAGCAAUAGUUUUACGUUCCCGUGAGUAGGUUCAAUUCACUAGCAAUAGUUUUAAGUUGCCGUGAGUGGGUUCAAUUCACUAGCAAUAGUUUUAAGUUGCCGUGAGUGCAUGGGUUCACUUCACUAGCAAUAGUUUUACGUUCCCGUGAGUGGGUUCAAUUCACUAGCAAUAGUUUUACGUUCCCUAUGAGUGGGUUCAAUUCACUAGCAAUAGUUUUGCGUUCCCGUGAGUGGGUUCAAUUCACUAGCAAUAGUUUUGGUUCAAUUCACUAGCAAUAGUUUUACGUUCCCGUGAGUGGGUUCAAUUCACUAGCAAUAGUUUUGCGUUCCCGUGGGUGGGUUCAAUUCACUAGCAAUAGUUUUGCGUUCCCGUGGGUGGGUUCAAUUCACUAGCAAUAGUUUUACGUUCCCGUGAGUGGGUUCAAUUCACUAGCAAUAGUUUUACGUUCCCGUGAGUGGGUUCAAUUCACUAGCAAUAGUUUUAAGUUCCCGUGAGUGGUCACUAGCAAUAGUUUUGCGUUCCCAUGAGUGGGUUCAAUUCACUAGCAAUAGUUUUGCGUUCCCGUGGGUGGGUUCAAUUCACUAGCAAUAGUUUUAAGUUCUUGUGAGUGGUCAUUAGCAAUAGUUUUGCGUUCCCAUGAGUGGGUUCAAUUCACUAGCAAUAGUUUUGCAUUCCCGUGGGUGGGUUCAAUUCACUAGCAAUAGUUUUAAGUUCUCGUGAGUGGUCACUAGCAAUAGUUUUGCGUUCCCGUGGGUGGGUUCAAUUCACUAGCAAUAGUUUUGCGUUCCCGUGGGUGGGUUCAAUUCACUAGCAAUAGUUUUGCGUUCCCGUGAGUGGGUUCAAUUCACUAGCAAUAGUUUUGCGUUCCCGUGGGUGAGUUCAAUUCACUAGCAAUAGUUUUACGUUCCCGUGAGUGGGUUCAAUUCACUAGCAAUAGUUUUGCGUUCUUGUGAGUGGGUUCAAUUCACUAGCAAUAGUUUUGCGUUCCCGUGAGUGGGUUCAAUUCACUAGCAAUAGUUUUACGUUCCCGUGAGUGGGUUCAAUUCACUAGCAAUAGUUUUAAGUUGCCGUGAGUGGGUUCAAUUCACUAGCAAUAGUUUUAAGUUGCCGUGAGUGCAUGGGUUCACUUCACUAGCAAUAGUUUUACGUUCCCGUGAGUGGGUUCAAUUCACUAGCAAUAGUUUUACGUUCCCUUGAGUGGGUUCAAUUCACUAGCAAUAGUUUUGCGUUCCCGUGGGUGGGUUCAAUUCACUAGCAAUAGUUUUAAGUUCUUGUGAGUGGUCAUUAGCAAUAGUUUUGCGUUCCCAUGAGUGGGUUCAAUUCACUAGCAAUAGUUUUGCAUUCCCGUGGGUGGGUUCAAUUCACUAGCAAUAGUUUUAAGUUCUCGUGAGUGGUCACUAGCAAUAGUUUUGCGUUCCCGUGGGUGGGUUCAAUUCACUAGCAAUAGUUUUGCGUUCCCGUGGGUGGGUUCAAUUCACUAGCAAUAGUUUUGCGUUCCCGUGAGUGGGUUCAAUUCACUAGCAAUAGUUUUGCGUUCCCGUGGGUGAGUUCAAUUCACUAGCAAUAGUUUUACGUUCCCGUGAGUGGGUUCAAUUCACUAGCAAUAGUUUUGCGUUCUUGUGAGUGGGUUCAAUUCACUAGCAAUAGUUUUGCGUUCCCGUGAGUGGGUUCAAUUCACUAGCAAUAGUUUUACGUUCCCGUGAGUGGGUUCAAUUCACUAGCAAUAGUUUUAAGUUGCCGUGAGUGGGUUCAAUUCACUAGCAAUAGUUUUAAGUUGCCGUGAGUGCAUGGGUUCACUUCACUAGCAAUAGUUUUACGUUCCCGUGAGUGGGUUCAAUUCACUAGCAAUAGUUUUACGUUCCCUUGAGUGGGUUCAAUUCACUAGCAAUAGUUUUGCGUUCCCGUGAGUGGGUUCAAUUCACUAGCAAUAGUUUUGCGUUCCCGUGAGUGGGUUCAAUUCACUAGCAAUAAUUUUACGUUCCCGUGAGUGCAUGGGUUCAAUUCACUAGCAAUAGUUUUACGUUCCCGUGAGUGGGUUCAAUUCACUGACAAUAGUUUUGGUUUUUGCGCUGUACUCCUCCCUUGCAUGUGUGACUGUUUUUUGUAGUUUGUGCUUUUUGCGCUGUGCUCCUCCCUUGCAGGUGUGACUGUGUUUUGUAGUUUGUGCUUUUUGCGCUGUACUCCCCACACUCACACACACACACACACAGUGAAGGAGCCUCCAUCACAACGCCAGCGAUAUUUCCAUAGUCAUGAUGAGACACGCUGUUUCUUAUAAUCAUGGACACUGAUGGGAUAAGUUGAAGAUAAUUAUUGUCAAGAAAGUAAACACAAGCCCGGCCCGUUACCAAGGAAACAUGACAACAUUGAUCAUCAUUGAAAAUUUUUAGCCUAUGCAGUCAUAAAAUUAAUAUUGUUGUAUUUUUUAAUCUC
Long non-coding RNA from Halichondria panicea, 4441 nucleotides. RefSeq lists it as uncharacterized. Lineage: Eukaryota; Metazoa; Porifera; Demospongiae; Suberitida; Halichondriidae. The transcript is spliced from 2 exons. The record is from RefSeq and is a predicted model, not a curated record.